RNAcentral lists this long non-coding RNA (617 nucleotides) under Anas platyrhynchos platyrhynchos (common mallard). RNAcentral describes it as "lncRNA (ENSAPLG00000017036.1)". The record is from RNAcentral. Lineage: Eukaryota; Metazoa; Chordata; Aves; Anseriformes; Anatidae.
GGCACAGAUAGCAGUCGUGGAUGAAUUAUUUCCCUUCUUAAGCAUCAGCUCUUUAAAACACUAUGGUGAUUUGGAAAGUCCCGAGAGUGAACUGUGAAGUUUUCUUCAUCUCAAUCAAUGGGUUUCUUAAGCAUUUCUCCAAAUCAUUGAUGUUCAGAGAUGAUGUGUGAUGGAAAAAACACCCUGUCUGUGUGUUUAUAGCCCCUGAUUUUUGGAUUAGUUUGCUGUGUUGCUGAACCGAUUUUGUUUCGAGGGCAAGGAGUGAAUGUGAUGGAUUUAUCUUCAGAGAUGAACAAACAUGGAAGGAAUCCAGUAAGUCACAAACUAGAAGAUCAAAAGAAGGUCUUUGCUGGGCUGCCAAACAUCUGGAAACCUUGGACAAACAGCUCUUGCACAUGGAUAGAUUCUAUUGCAGUGAGUCCAACACGUCAGGGUUUGUCCGAGUUGCUCCAUACAAGCUAUGUUUGUCAAGUGUGCUCCAUGGAAUCCAAAUCCAACUAGAGGAUUCAGACCUCUCUCUGAGACAUAGAUUUCUUUGAGGAAAGAUCCAGUACCAAAAAUCUGAGAAUAUAUACAUUCAGAAUAAACCUUAUGUUGUAGAGUUGGGGAUGUUAACA